Molecule: long non-coding RNA, 570 nt
Filed under: Brassica napus (rape)
Lineage: Eukaryota; Viridiplantae; Streptophyta; Magnoliopsida; Brassicales; Brassicaceae
Description: long non-coding RNA (BNAP_LNC011843)
Source: RNAcentral
UCACAUUCCUCAGUAAAAUCCUAUUCAAAUUAUAAAUAUUUGAAAAAAUAGGAAAAGGAUAAGAUACUAGAAUUCAUGUGGGCGAGACUUACGUAUUAUAAUUGCUGGAAGUCUUGCCACAUGUUAAUCUAGUAUUUUUAUCAUUUUCCUUUUUUUUUCUAGUUUUUACACUACGAGGUAUUUACGACGAUUUCUACUUACGUGGAAUUAACGAGUGUUAUGUUUAAAUCAUUUUACGUGGUAUUUACGACGAUUUCAACUUACGUGGAAUUAACGAGUGUUAUGUUUAAAUCCUUUUACGUGGUCUUUACGACGAUUUGUGCUUACGUGGAAUUAACGAGUAUUAUGUUUAAAUCCUUUUACGUGGUCUUUACGACGAUUUGUGCUUACGUGGAAUUAACGAGUAUUAUGUUUAAAUCCCUAAAAUUCGAAACCUCCAAACCCCAAACCCCAAACCCCAAACCCCAAACCCCAAACCCCAAACCUGAAACCCCAAACCCCAAACCUCAAACCACGAAACCUCCAAACCCCAAACCUCAAACCCCAAACUCCACACCCCAAACCCCAAAC